This 745-nucleotide ribosomal RNA is filed under the name bacterium D16-59. RNAcentral describes it as "Bacterial large subunit ribosomal RNA". It matches the Rfam family "Bacterial large subunit ribosomal RNA", at positions 656 to 1402 of the family's 2925-position model. The record is from Rfam by way of RNAcentral.
AAGCGCGGAGCCGCAGGGAAACCGAGCCUUAACUGGGCGCCACAGUCACACAGCAUAGACCCGAAACCGGGUGACCUACCCAUGCCCAGGCUGAAGCUGCUGUAAAAGGCGGUGGAGGGCCGAACACACAUCCGUUGAAAAGGGUGGUGAUGAGGUGUGGGUAGCGGAGAAAUUCCAAUCGAACCCGGAGAUAGCUGGUUCUCCCCGAAAUAGUUUUAGGACUAGCCUGCCGGGAGUCUGCUGGAGGUAGAGCACUGAAUUCCUGCGGGGGCGUCAAAGCCUACCAAGGGAUAUCAAACUCCGAAUGCCAGCCAGAUGCUCCGGCGGAGUCAGACUGCACGAGAUAAGUUGGGCGGUCAAAAGGGAAACAGCCCAGACCACCGGCUAAGGUCCCAAAGUGCGUGUUAAGUGGGAAAGGAUGUGGGGAUUCGAAGACAGCUAGGAUGUUGGCUCAGAAGCAGCCAUACAUUCAAAGAGUGCGUAACAGCUCACUAGCCGAGAGUCCCUGCGCCGAAAAUGUCCGGGGCUGAAACACGACACCGAAGCCGUGGAACUAUGCCAUGCAUAGUUGGUAGGGGAGCAUUCUUAACGGGGCGAAGCUGUACCGGAAGGAGCAGUGGACUGUUAAGAAGAGAGAAUGCCGGAAUGAGUAGCGAGAGAUAGGUGGGAAUCCUAUCGGCCGAAUAUCCAAGGUUUCCAGGGUAAAGCUGAUCUGCCCUGGGUAAGUCGGGGCCUAAGGCGAGGC